GACGAAGGAUGCAACCGUUAUCCGGAUUCAUUGGGUUUAAAGGGAGCGUAGGUGGACUGAUAAGUCAGUGGUGAAAUCUUUGGGCUUAACCCAAAAAUUGCCAUUGAUACUGUCGGUCUUGAGUAUAGUUGCCGUUGGCGGAAUAUGACAUGUAGUGGUGAAAUACAUAGAGAUGUCAUAGAACACCGAUUGCGAAGGCAGCUGACGAAACUAUAACUGACACUGAGGCUCGAAAGUGUGGGGAUCAAACAGG
Molecule: ribosomal RNA, 253 nt
Filed under: uncultured bacterium
Lineage: Bacteria
Description: partial 16S ribosomal RNA
Rfam family: Bacterial small subunit ribosomal RNA
Source: RNAcentral